UCCGAACUGAGACCGGCUUUUUGGGAUUCGCUCCACCUUACGGUAUCGCAGCCCUCUGUACCGGCCAUUGUAGCAUGCGUGAAGCCCAAGACAUAAGGGGCAUGAUGAUUUGACGUCAUCCCCACCUUCCUCCGAGUUGACCCCGGCAGUCUCCCAUGAGUCCCCGGCAUAACCCGCUGGCAACAUAGGACGAGGGUUGCGCUCGUUGCGGGACUUAACCCAACAUCUCACGACACGAGCUGACGACAACCAUGCACCACCUGUGUACGAGUGUCCAAAGAGAACCCCGUCUCGGGGGCUUUCUCGUACAUGUCAAGCCUUGGUAAGGUUCUUCGCGUUGCAUCGAAUUAAUCCGCAUGCUCCGCCGCUUGUGCGGGCCCCCGUCAAUUCCUUUGAGUUUUAGCCUUGCGGCCGUACCCCCCAGGCGGGGCACUUAAUGCGUUAGCUGCGGCACGGAACUCGUGGAAUGAGCCCCACACCUAGUGCCCAACGUUUACGGCAUGGACUACCAGGGUAUCUAAUCCUGUUCGCUCCCCAUGCUUUCGCUCCUCAGCGUCAGUUGCGGCCCAGAGACCUGCCUUCGCCAUCGGUGUUCCUCCUGAUAUCUGCGCAUUCCACCGCUACACCAGGAAUUCCAGUCUCCCCUACCGCACUCUAGUCUGCCCGUACCCGAUGCAAGCCCGAGGUUGAGCCUCGGGAUUUCACACCAGACGCGACAGACCGCCUACGAGCUCUUUACGCCCAAUAAUUCCGGACAACGCUUGCGCCCUACGUAUUACCGCGGCUGCUGGCACGUAGUUAGCCGGCGCUUCUUCUGCAGGUACCGUCACUUGCGCUUCUUCCCUGCUGAAAGAGGUUUACAACCCGAAGGCCGUCAUCCCUCACGCGGCGUCGCUGCAUCAGGCUUGCGCCCAUUGUGCAAUAUUCCCCACUGCUGCCUCCCGUAGGAGUCCGGGCCGUGUCUCAGUCCCAGUGUGGCCGGUCGCCCUCUCAGGCCGGCUACCCGUCGACGCCUUGGUAGGCCAUCACCCCACCAACAAGCUGAUAGGCCGCGAGCCCAUCCCCCACCGAAAAACUUUCCAACCCACACCAUGCGAUGCGAGCUCAUAUCCGGUAUUAGACCCCGUUUCCAAGGCUUAUCCCGAAGUGGAGGGCAGGUUGCUCACGUGUUACUCACCCGUUCGCCACUGAUCCACCCAGCAAGCUGGGCUUCAC
Molecule: ribosomal RNA, 1215 nt
Filed under: uncultured bacterium
Lineage: Bacteria
Description: partial 16S ribosomal RNA
Source: RNAcentral